CGGUCACCUGACGCCCGAGCGGCCUCGCCAUUUGUCAGAACGCGUUCAGCCGUGGGAGCUUUAAACUCGAGUCUGACCUACGAACCUGCGGCGAACGUCUUGCGCGUUUCCUGCCCCUGACCCUGCCCAGCUGAAGCAGCAGCCCCACUAGAUAUGGCAGCCCACGUCAGACCCAUCCUUUCGCACGGCCCCGCCCCUUCUCGGAGCUUCUGCGGGAGGACCAUUCACAGAGCACCAGGCGGUCUGUGCUACGGCACCUCAAGAAUCAACCCAAGACAAUCUCUGGGCCCUAGUGCACACCCUGACACCUUUAAGUGGUUUCGAAAUCAGAAAAUAAAGCACUGGUCACCAAAAAUCCAG
Ictidomys tridecemlineatus (thirteen-lined ground squirrel) is the source of this 360-nucleotide non-coding RNA. NCBI's taxonomy places the organism in Eukaryota, Metazoa, Chordata, Mammalia, Rodentia, Sciuridae. The record is from RefSeq and is a predicted model, not a curated record.